This 84-nucleotide transfer RNA is filed under the name Phycisphaerae bacterium. Its description in RNAcentral is "tRNA-Leu". It matches the Rfam family "tRNA". From Rfam's summary of the family: Transfer RNA (tRNA) molecules are approximately 80 nucleotides in length. Their secondary structure includes four short double-helical elements and three loops (D, anti-codon, and T loops). Lineage: Bacteria; Pseudomonadati; Planctomycetota; Phycisphaerae. RNAcentral also lists the same sequence under 3 other names. The record is from RNAcentral.
GCCCGGGUGGCGGAAUUGGCAGACGCGCAUGGUUGAGGGCCAUGUGCCCGCAAGGGCGUGCUGGUUCGACUCCAGUCCCGGGCA